GCGGGUAUGGUGUAAUGGUAGCACAUAACCCUUCCAAGGUUCUAGCACGAGUUCGAGUCUCGUUACCCGCU
This 71-nucleotide transfer RNA is filed under the name Anaerolineae bacterium. RNAcentral's name for it is "tRNA-Gly". It matches the Rfam family "tRNA". Rfam says of the family: Transfer RNA (tRNA) molecules are approximately 80 nucleotides in length. The record is from RNAcentral. Lineage: Bacteria; Bacillati; Chloroflexota; Anaerolineae.